Molecule: long non-coding RNA, 669 nt
Organism: Myotis davidii
Lineage: Eukaryota; Metazoa; Chordata; Mammalia; Chiroptera; Vespertilionidae
Exons: 2
Source: RefSeq, a predicted model, not a curated record
CUGUAUUUAAAGGGCCAGAACGUUGAGAACCACUGGCUUAGAUGCUCCUGAUCCCUCCUUCGGUGAUGCUAAGCUGGUCAUCAAACCGUCUAGCGCAGGGCUGUGCACCAGGACCAGGAACGAUGGACUUGUCCCAUAUCUACACUGUCUGCUCUGCCACGUGCGUCAGGCACAUCCAGCUCUUACAAUGAAAGUGAACCAUGAUAAUCCCAUUGCUGGUUUUUCAUGGCCUGGAGACCUUAGGGCUGGCUGGAGAGACACUUCCAUCGAGGAAAACCAAACAUUUUGAAUGAAGUUAUGGAGACGGAAGAGCCGGUCUCCCCCGCCCACCUCCCGCCUGCUGUAUAACACACAGAGCAUCUCGGGAUCCCAUCUGAUCCCUGCGGUGACCUAUGCAGGGUGUAAGCCAGGGGUGGUGCCAUUUUACAAAUGAAGAAACGAGGCCCAGAGGAGGCACAUAGCUCCCCAGACCUGGAACGGAGCAGAGCCUCGAACGCCUCCCCCAGGGCCCUGCCAUGUGCUGGUUUGGGCUCCUUCAUGUUCACCUGCAGGCGCACCUGGUGCAACAAAGGACUCGAGUCCCCAGAUGUCUCCUUUAGAGGUUCCACAUCAAGCCACAUCUUUCUCAUUAGUGCUCUCUGAUUAAAGCUAAUUGUCUUCACCUACCAA